UUACAAAAGAUAUGUAUGCUCGGUUUUGGGAACUUUCAGAUUUAGUUUAUUGGAGAAAUGUUGUUGGUAUGUGUUUUGAAGCUUCAUUCAUGAAAUAUAGCCGGUGAAGGAUCAUUGUGGGCCGGGUCUCUUGAGUAGAAAACAGUAUUUGUGCAGCCCUUGCAUGCACAAUGAAUGUUUUAUCUGAGAUUCUCGGUCCAAAAUGUAAGAGCUUCAAUUCCAUAUUAACUACAUUUCAGUCCCAAAAUACUAGGGAAGCCAAUAUUUCAUUUUGAAAGUUAAAGGGUGUUGAUAUGUGUUUUGAAGCUUCAUUCAUGAAAUAUAGCCGGUGAAGGAUCACUGUUGGCCGGGUCUCUUGAGUAGAAAACAGUAUUUGUGCAGCCCCUGCAUUCACAAUGAAUGUUUUAUUUGAGAUUCUCGGUCCAAAAUGUAAGAGCUUCAAUUCCAUAGUAACUACCUUUUCAGUCCCAAAAUACCAGGAAAGCCAAUAUUUCAUUUUGAAAGUUAAAGGUUGUUGCUGUGUGUUUUGAAGCUUCAUUUAUGAAAUAUAGUUGGUGAAGGAUCAAAAUUGGCCGGGUCUCUUUGAGUAGAAAACAUUAUUUGUGCAGCCCUUGCAUUCACAAUGAAUGUUUUAUUUGAGAUUCUGGGUCCAAAAUGUAAGAGGUUCAAUUCCAUAUUAACUACCCUUUAGUCCUAGGAAAGGCAAUAUUUCAUUUUGAAAGUGGAAGUUUUUGUCGAUAUUUCAAAACAAACUUAUGUGCCUCGGUGCAUGAGAACGUGAAUCUUGAUUUUUUGUGGCAAAAUGAAACUGCUUGCAACCCUCAAGAUGUACAGCCUCAAAAAGAUGUGGCUUAAAAUCUCAAGCCAAAGUUUGGGUGCGUCGGUUUGAAAGUGAGAGUUUCUUUGAUCACGCACUUUCUUUUGGAGAGUUAGGCGACGUUUCACUUAGUGGUGGCAAUAUGCUCUCCCAAUCUAUUUUUAGCGCGGACAGAAAAAGUUUCGUGCUAGGUUAUGGGAAUCGUCAUUAUACGUGGAAGAGGUUGCCGUUCUUUAUUUUGAAGCCACAUCGAUAAUCUAGUUGCAGCGUUUUUCCUCUGUAGAGGUGCCCCGAUUCGAUAUUUUGAAACCGACACUGUAUUUACUGAUUCUUUUAAAAUAAGUGUGCCCCUCGGUAUUCAAGCAGAAGUUUCUCUGUUUUUUGGGGAAGAGUAAAAUUGCUCUGUUCUCUUGGUUGGUUGGAACAUAGAAAGCAAUAUGUUUGGAUCUUUUGAUUGCAAGUAAAUAUUUUUUCGGCACGUGGUUUUAAAGCUUUUUGGCUUUUGUUAAAGAAUAGUUUUUUUAAAAAAAUAUAUAUACAAAAGAAUAGUUUCCUGUUUUGGAAGUUUCCUGGUUUGGGAAGUAAAGGAGACUCAAUUUAUACUUUAAAACCUAAAAGCUGUUUUUAUGCAUUAUUUAUGGAUAAAUGUGUGACUUGAUGCACAAGAAAAUGAAUUUUGAUUUCUUGGGGCAAUGUAAAUCUGCUUGGGUCCCUCUCGCAGUUCCAAGUUUUAGAAAAACUUGCAUUGACAAAGAUUCGAGGAUAUUGUGACAGCACCACUUCUGACACGGUAACUUGCUUUCAAUAUUUAGUUUACGUAAGGCAUACGAGAUGUGUUUUGAAGGUUUUGAAACCCAUGGUCUGUUGCUGCGAAAAUAUAUCAUUCGGAGUCCCGUAUUCAGAAAGUAAAAGGCCUCGAUUAAUCUUUUCGAAAGCUAGCCUGUCCAUUUAUUUUUUGAAAACGAUUUUUUUUGUUGGUCCCCUGAGCAAAUGUUCCUCAAUUUUUUGGGGCAAUGUGAGAUUUUGCAAAAUGUCCCUUGGAUAAUUCUUUCUCUAGCAAAAUGUCCCUUGAUCUUUUAGUUGGAAGUAACUAUUCUUUGCUAUGUUGGUUUAAUUAAAGUUUCUCUUGAUCUUUUGCUUUCGAAAUAAAUCUGCAGGUGUCCCCACAGGGAAAUUGUAGCAGUUGGAAAAGUAAGUGGAGGUCAAGUAAUUUUUUUAGAAACUGAAGGCGUGUUCUAUCGAUUAUUUUGAAAGAUAAGUGUGCCUUGGUGCAAAAGAAAAUGACUUUGGAUUUGCUGCAGCAAAGCAAAACUUUUUUGAUGCCCUGGGUUUUCGGAACUCUAAAAGUUGUGGUUUGGACUCUUGAUUCAAAGUAAGUGUUUUUGAGAAUACGUUGGUUUAAAGGAAAAGUAACUCUGAUAACAAACACCCUUUCUCUUGGAGAGUUGGCAGCCUUUCUCUACGUAACUGGCAGUGUGCUUUCUCAAUCAUUUUAUUGCUACGGGCGUAAGACAUGAUUGCUCGGUUAAAGGAGAUAUUCAUUUUAUUUGAGAAAGGCCUUCGUUCUUGAUUUGGAAGCCAAUUUGAUGAACUUCAGUAAAAGUGGGCGAAUUCUUUUUCUCGCAAAUGAGAGUGCUUUGGUUUAUUGUUUCAAAAUAAAUGUACUUUGACUCCUAGGCAACGGGUUUUUAAAUUUCCUUGGAAAAAGUAAAAUUCAUCCCGUUGCUCGGCCAGUUGGAGCUCAAAAAAAGCAUGCAUGUAUGCUGAAUUUGUCUUGGUUUUAAUCAUUGUUCUAAUGUAGGUCUUCAAAAAAUUGACCGAGAAAACUAUUUGAGAGAGCUAAACCAUCGAAGUCUAUCGGACCCAAAGUGUAGUAGUCUUACCAAACUUCAGAUCUUGUGGGAUCUUUUCUCUGUUUACUUUUUUUUUUUUUUUUUAAAGCAAUAUCUGUGGUUAAAAGAGAUUGGUAUGUUUAACAUGCAAGGCAACUACGGAGCCUGGCGUAACCGCGUCAAUAUUAUGUUGCUGACUUUUCUUUGCUGUAGGUACGUAGCGGGAAACUUGUUUAAGCGGAAAGAACGGAGUUUGUUCCAGUGGCUAUCUACACGAACAACGUGUGCUACGCGGAAUGUGAGUAUUAUGUUACCCUGGAUUGUCUUGAAAAUAUUUCUCUCGCUGCUACUUUGUUUAAGAAACAUUUGUAGUUAUACAAAAUUAACGUUUAGAACAUGCCAGACGGUUAAAAAGCUACAGAUAACAGGGUAUGCUAAUUUUGCCACCUUUUCCUUGGUGCAGCAAAUUGGAGCGAGGGUGAAGCCUUCCUAAGUGUAGAGCUACAGAUUGAAGGUUUUUGGACCCUACUUUAUUUAAUUUAAUAGUGGAACUUAUCUUUCUUGGAAAAUAGUAAAAGAGGCAAUCGGUCCUGCUUUGUUGUUGUUUACUAGAGACGUGUUAUUGAAAGGAACAAAUGAGGUUUCUUCCCGUUGCUGGUUAUGCAGGCGACGAGUGCGGCUGCGUGGCUUCUGAGUGUGAUUUUACUCCGUGUACAUCAUCAGGAAUGGAGUUUUUACUCUUACCGAGUUUUAUUUUAUAGGGUUGUCGUCCCGUAUUUGUAUCUGCAAUUUGUGUAGUGUUGGAACGGAAGUUUAUGGCUUGAACUUCCAUUUUGGUGGAUUUUCGUCUUGGGAAAUAAGUCAUUUAGCGUGGUCCAAUUCCAGUGGAGUUCAUGGCAACCACGUUGGCUCUUAAUAAGCGGACUGAUCCAGUGAAUAUCCUGCAAAUUUUGUGCAUGACUAGGGAUCUUUUGUUGAUAAAUAGAUCUCGGGGCGGUUGGGCGGCCGUUCAUCAAAACUAAUUUUACCAAACUAGUAGAAUUCUUGUCGUAGUUUAGAUUAUUGGAAUUUUUUUUCCGUUUUUGAUGUUUUAUUUUUGUCUGUUGUCCUUCAUUGCGUGUUAAGCAUUUGUCCUUUAUAUUACUCUACUCGAUUUUAGCUUUUUCAUUUGAUAAUUUUGUUCGCAUGAUCUGAUGCUGGAAUCAGGUUUCAGGUGUUCUGCAUGUCACGUCUGAUUUGUUAAUAUUUUUCAUCUCAUUAGGUAAUUAUCAUAUCGGCAUUGGUAGGUGAUAUUACUCUGCUCAAUUUUAAAUUUUAUUAUUUUGAUAAUUUCGUUCACAUGUGCUGAUGUUACAAUCACGUUUCAGGUUUUCCGCUUGCUAGCCAUUUUGUCAUAAUUUGGUCCCAUGACCUGUUAUAUAAAUUCUGAUUUAUCCUUUCAAAUGGUGCUUUUUCUCACAGCUAAAAUCCUCUCAAAGAUGAGUUCCCGUUUAAUAAUCCAUUGGUCAAGGUCGGUAAGAGAAAUUCAACCGUAGAGAUGUGUGGAGAAGUGUAUCGCAUAGCUCCAGUUACUCUUACUCAACAGCAGCAAGCUUUCCAUCAGAAAAGGAGAUCUAGAGCAUACCAGGGGAAGGGACCAACUGUGUUCCUUAAGGACGCGGAUUCCAUACCUCCUGAUGUAGACCCCAAUACAACCAGAUGGAUUCCAGCCAAUCAUUUUUUUGCAACCACUGCAGCUGACAUUGAUUAGACCUGGCACAAAACAAUAUGUAUCAGGAGCAUGGUGUUCCAUUUCGUAUUCAGGCUGAGCAUGAGGCAGUAGAGAGGAAGCUUGAAGCGGCUUGAAUGGCAUGCAUGGUAACAGAGAGUAACUUUUCACUAUAAAAUGCCCUAUAUAACCAUAUACAUUCUUCACUGAAGUUGCAUCCUACUGAAUAACUUACAGUAAAUCCUGUAGAAGGUCGGAAGCCUAACCCAUAAUGAACUAAUAGUGAAAGCACCAGCGGGCUAGUCAGUUUGGGCAUAAACCUAAAAUUGAGUUUCUCUACUUGCAUUAUCUCUUAUCAAAAUAUUAAUCCUGUAGUUUCAGGUGCUAAAGAUACUUGCAAUUAUGGAAGUAGAAAUCAUACUGGUAAACCUAUGAUGCGCCCUUGACUUUCGAUUCUAAGGCCUUGUUUUACCAGGACGGAUUUGAACCUUUCUUUGUUUUUUUUUUUUGACAAUUUUGGAGGUGGGUUCUGGAUGUUUGCUCAUAUGAAAAUAUGAAAUUGAUUUACCAGAUCAACACCAUAUAACAGAAUUUACGCUAUCCGAACUUUAUUCUGGGUUAUUCUAUUGCUUUUAAGUUAUUAAGGUCUGAAAUAUAUAUAUAUUAAAGUAAUUUCUUUAUGUGUGUCAGCUUUUUUAUUUAGGAGCGAAAGUUUAUUGGAGUUAUAUUUACUCAAAUUUUGUCCCAUUAAUAAUGAUAACUACUUAUGACACGUUACUCAGAAAAAAUUAUUUGUUGUUGUUUUUUGCAUGGAGAAAAAUUCAAUGACCCUUUCUUGUAUGACACCUUUAGCACUCAUUCCUAUUCAACAAUGCUCUAUGCAAAGGUAUUCUUGUAUGACACCUUUAGCACUCAUCGAUACCUGCGGUAAAGUACAAAGAAAAUAAAAGAAAAACGGCCCGCAAACUGUUUCAACCACUCAUUCUUGACAGCUGCAGCUUGUCUAGCGCCAACAACAAAGAACUCUGUAAUGACUUCGAGAGGCAUGCCUUUGGUUUCUGGGACUUUCAGGAACACAAAGAUCCAAGAGAUGAAGCACACAAUCGAAUAUAUGCUGAAGACGCUUGCUAAGCGUUUUGAAUUGAUCAUUACAGGCAGAGCGUAUGUCACAAUAAUGUUGCCGACCCAAAAAACCGUGGCACAGAUAGUAAUGCAAAUGCCACACCCUUGUAGGGAAGAUCACAGUGCAGAGGAUAUUUGGAAUUGGCCCAUAUGCCAUGACGAGGCCGCAGAUGUGUGAUACACAAGCUGAUGGCGUUGCUGCAUUUAUAACUGUGCUCAACUUCACUAGUGGGCCAAUAACUAGAAUGAUUAGUGACACUAUUAGUGCAGGAAUUGUCGCAAGUAGCAGCCGCCUGGCAAUGAAGGAUGUGUGAGUUAAAGAGAAAGUAAAAUAUUAUGAGCAAAUGCAUCUUGGGAGACACUGUAUAUGCUAUAUUUAUCUGUUGCUAUUGGGGAAACCAAGGCUCUUGGUCCACCUGAUGGCCACAAGCCUCUGAGAUUUUUUUAGUGAUUUGAUCAAUUAAGAGCUAUUUUGCUUUUGCAUGCAGAUUUUCAAGUACGGGAAUGCAGGAAACUCCAAGAACAAAAAUAGAUAAGCAUAAAAGAAAAAUAGGGGUUGGAGUUUGCUUCUUUUGCUAGUAAAUCAUGGUACCAAUAGAAAAGGCAGCUGUCAAUGCUAAAAUGUGUAAUCUUGCCACUAUUAUUCAUCACAAAUUCUAUUCGCAUGUCUAGAAAAUUUUUUUGGUCAGAUCGAUGCACAUUUCUAAUAAACAUGUCCUGGAUUUUGUUAUGUUUUCCUUUUUCUUAAGCUUUGUUGCAGCUGUCAUGGCAAUUAUUCGGGACCAUUAACUAGUAAUUCAGGUAACUUCAUUGCAACGGCGUGGCAAUUGAGGUGUUUGGUUCAUAUAUUAAAUUAUAUUUUUUGUUAUUAAAGCUGGUCUAAUAUGACUAAAACACAUCUUGAAAUUUUUUAUUUAAAAUUUAUGAGAAUUUAAAAAUUAUUUUAGAAAAUAUUAUAUAUUAAUUUUCAGUUUUAUUUGUUAAUAAAAAAAAUAACAGUAAUAUAAUUAUAUUAUAUAUAUUUGAUGGCUUUUUUUAAUCCUAUUUAUGACUUUUUCUUUUUUACUAUAAAGGGGAUUGUUUAAAAGAGUGAAGCUCGGAAAAUGCAGCCGACCCCUCAUCUCUUAUCCUUAUUAUAUAACAGAAGCUGAUGACUUCGUCGCCUAAUUCUAGGUACGUAAAUUUUGUCAAUCGAAGCGGAAGCCUGCUAUGCUGUUAAUGCUGCUAUCUAUUCUCUUUUGUAUGGUUGUUGUUUUGUUUUGAUUCCUGUCAUAUGUUUUUUAGAUCAAUACCACUGUAUGUGAUUUUUUUUUUUCUUUUUCUUUGUCGGAGUUCUCAUCAUUUUGUUUUUUUUUUUUGUAUUAUUGAGAUGAAAUUGUUAGUUUGAAUCCUGAUAGCUCAAGAGUGCUGUUUAGUUUUUUGCGCACCGGCAGGCUUGUCACUUCUUCUGUUGAAGUUGGCAUAAUGGCUGAUCUAAUGUGGUAGGCUAUGUGGUUUUACACAAGUUAACAUGCAGCACCUGUAGAAGGUAAUCUCUUCACUGGAAAUGUUGAGAACUUAGUUAAUCCAUUUGUUGAUUUGCAUGACUUUGUUCAAUGAGUUUAGUCAAAGAUGCAAAUGGAAGGUUCUUAAAUGAUUUUUUUUUAUUUAGUUGUUGUGGUACAUUAGGUAAUGACUGUAUAGAUUUAUGUUAGAUACAUUUCUUCGACUAUAGUGAAACAGAGAAAACGAACGACCAUUAUUAGUAACUGCUUGGAAUUCAGUUGCUGAUCUAAUUAAUGUUAGCUAUUUACUGAGAGGAUUUUUUUUGUUUUUGUAAUCAAAGAGAAACUUACUUCAUUUAUUGUGACCCAUUUCUUGCUGUCACAUUCAAUUAUAUUCUUUUAGCAUUUUUGAAAUUUUCGAAUUUGCGUUGGUUUUCUUCUUCUUUUUUCUUGUAUUUGUUAUAGGGGCGGAGGGGGACAGAAGAGGGUUUUAUCUCUGCUAUGCUGGUAAGAUUUUUCUUCAUUCUGUUAUUUUUUUUACUCGAGGCUUCUGAAAAUUAAAACCACAAAAAAAAAUUAAGAAAAGAAAAAAAAAAAAAAAACCGAACAAAGAAAAGGGCAAUUAAAUUGCCAGGAAACAAUUUUUCAGGUACCUGGGGUGUGGAAGGAGGGAGCCCAGGGGAAUAAAUUUGCUGGGAUAUACACACGUCAUGCAGAAAAUCAGCACUUUGUUUGGGUGCAGCAGUGAUGGACCUGGGUGCUCUACGCAAGCCCACCAGCACACUCACCAGUGAGCGCGUACAUAAUGCAUUGUGCCCCCGUGCAUUUGCCCCGUCGCUGUUUCAAGCCAUUAUGCCUCAGAUGACAUCAAAAAAGUAAUUUCAACCUCAUCUGAUAUUUUUGUUAUGUAGGACAAAUAAUGUUGAUUUGUUUAAUCAGGGAUUUAGAAAUAAAAUGAGACAUCGCACCUAGAGUUUUUUAAACAUCAUAUUUAAGACGUUUUAAGAAUCACACUUAAGUGUUCGAUUGUAUUAUUUUCUUUAAAUAUCUUUUUCUAACUAGAGAUAGAUUAGAAAAUAAUAAAUUAAUAAAAUUAAAAAUAUUAAUCUUAAUAAAAAUGAGAAAUUAACACUAAUAAUGUUAGAAAUCCUAAUAAGAAUAAAAAUCUCAAGUUACUAAAAUUAAAAUAAUAUUCUUAAAUAAUAAUUAAUUAUAAUUUUUAAUUUUUUAAAUUACGUUUUUUACUCUUCACGCUUGGUGAAUUUUAAAUUAAAGCAUAUGCCCUUUAUAAUUUUAUUCACAUGCGCUGAUGUUGGAAUCAGGUUUCAGGCGUUCUUCAUGUCAAGUCUGAUUUGUUAAUAUUAUGUAAUCAUUGUAUCCGCGUUGGUGGAAGUUAUAUUACUCUGCCCAGUUUUAGUUUUUAUCAUUUUGAUAAUUUUGUUCACAUGUGCUGAUGUUAAAGUUACGUUUCAGGAUUCCUGUGACCUGUCAUAUGAAUGAUAAAGGGCAUAUGCUUGAAGCAGCACAAAAUGUAAGCAGCUUGAAUGACAUGCAUGGUAACAGAGUAAUUUUUCACUAUAAAAUGUUCCAAAUAACCAUAUAUUCUUCAGUGAAGUUGCAUCCUUACUGAACAACUUACAAUAAAUCCCGCAGAAUGUUGGAAGCCUCACCCAUAACGAACUAAUAACGAAAGCACUAGCAGGCUAGUCAGUUCGGGCAUAAACCUAAAUUUGAGUUCCUCUCCUCGCAUUAUCUCUUAUCAAAAGAUUAAACAUGUAGUUUCAGGUUCCUAAGAUACUUGCAAUUAUGGAAGUAGAAACCAUGUUGGUAAACCUAUGAUGUGUCCUUAACUUUUGAUUCUAAGGACCUGUUUUACCAGGAAGGAACUAAACAUUUCUUCUUUUUUUAUGGGUUCUAGAUGUUUGCUAUUGAUUUACCAUAUCAACACUACAUAGCAUAAUUUAUGAUAUCUGAACUUUAUUCUGCAUUGAUCUAUUGCUUAUGAGGUAUUCGUGUCUGAAAUAUAUAUGUUAAAGCAAUUACAUGUCUAGAAAAUUUCUUUGGUCAGAUUGAUGCACAUUUCCACUAAACAUGUCCUGGAUUUUGUUCUGGUUUCCUUUUUCUCAAGCUUUGUUGCAGCUGCCAUGGCAAUUACGCAAGACCAUUCAACUAGUAAUUCAGGUAACCCCGUUGCAACAGUUGUGGUAAUUGAGGUGUUUGCCUCAUAUAUUAAAUUAUGUUUUCUGCUCUUCACACAUGCUGAGAUAUGAAUUUAAGCUGGUCUAAUAAGGCUAAGCGCAUCUUGAAACUAUUAAGCCUUAUCUUCACUGAAAUCUAGUGGAGACUUUUCAUCAAAACUAAUUUUACCAAACUAAUAGAAUUCUCGUCCUAGUUGACAUUAUUUUGGAUUUUUUUUCCCUUUUUUCUUUCCUGAUUUCUUAUUUUCAUCUGUUGUCCUUCGUUGCAUGUUAAUCAUAUGUUCUUUCCCUUCUGCACCUCCCCUAUUCAGCCUGAUCCAAUCAUCCUGUCACCAUAAAGAUUUAAGAUAAACCAAAUGUGAGCAAAAACAUCUUUACCUUUUCUUUUAUUUUUAAAAAUUUUUCUUCCUAAAAAGUUACAAGGAUUAUUGAACUAAACAGAUUAUUGGUCAAACUUUUACAUAUUUCUUCUUAGUUGGUAGGUUUUUCUUUUUUUUUUUUGAAAAAAAAAUAUUACAUAUAGUUUUUUUACUGAUUGAUGAUCAAUCAAUAUUGCCUCUUUAAUGGUUGAAAUUUGCAGUGGGUUACAUAUUUAUCUUUUUGUUCAUGUUCUUUCCUAAUUCGUUAAUUUCUUUGAAAAUAUAUAAUGACUGCAUAUUUUUAGGAUGUAUUACUCUAUAUUUAUGUGAUUUAUUAAUUCGUAUUUUUAUAAUUUUUUACUAUUUAUUUUUAGGAGUGUUUGUUGAUUGUAUAGUAAUUCGAAAGUAUGUAUUUUAUUACAAAAGAAAAAUAAUAUUAACAGAAAAUAAAUAAGAAUUAAUUAAAAAUGUUAUGCAAAUUUAAAUUUUAAAUCAAUGUAAAAAUAUUUGUUUUAUAGGUUUAUUAUUUUAUUUUAUGUAUAUAAGAUAACAAUAUUAGCUAAAAUAAUAUAUUUUAUUAUAAAAAUAGAAUAAUAUUGUCAGAGAACAAGUAUUAUUAAAUAGGAAAAUAUUAGUUAAUUUAUCGUAUAUAGAAUUAUAAAUAUAUUUUAAUUUAUAUAAUAAAAUUUUUAAGAUAAAUAUUGAUAUUUAAUAAGUAUUGUAAUAUUUAAAACAUUUUUAAAAAAUUUGUAGGUAAAUUAAAAUUAAAUUUUAUUUUCAAAUUUAAAAUGUUUAAAUAGGAAAUUUUUAUAAAAAUUAAAAUAUGGUAUUUAUUUUUAAUAAAAUAUUAAUACAUUAAUAUUAUUUUUAUAUUUAAAAUUUUUAAGAAUUUAAAAAUUAUUUUAUAUGUAUUAAUUUUAAGGUUAGUUAAUAAAAUAAAAUAAUAAGAAUAAUAUAAAUAGUUUAUAUCAUAUAUAUUGUACGAGACAGUUUUUAUUUUUUUUUUACGCUGUUUACAGUUUUUUUUUUAACGCUAAAAAAGACUUUAAAAGAGCUGGUUUACAAAAUCCGACCGAGCUCAUCCUCAAACCCGUUUCUGCAUAUGAUAUUCAGAGGCGGUGGACUAAUGAACCCUAAAACUUCAAAUUGAGAAAGUUGUUCAAUCCCAGGUACAUGAAUUUUGUCAACUGAAGCGGAUGACCGCUAUUCUUUUAACGCUGCUGCUAUAUAUUUUCCUUCGUGUUAUUGCUGUUUUGUUUUGAUUUCUGUCAUAUAUUUUCUUGAUCAAGACCCCACAGUAUUUGAGUAUUUUUUUUUCUUUCCCCUUAUUGGAGUUUUUAUUAUUUUGUUUUUUUGUUUUUUUUUGUAUUACAGAUAUGAAAUUGUUAGUUUAAAUUAUGAUGUUAUAUGAUAUAUUUUAUUAUAAAAAUAUUAUUAUUAUUGAGUGAAAAUAAAUUAAAAUGAAAUAAUUAUUAAAAAUAAAUGCUAUAAAAAUUUUAAAAUUGAAUAUUAAUAAAUAAGAAAAUAUUAGUUUUUAUUAGUUAAUUAUCUUAUUUUAUGUGUAUAAAUAAUUAUUUUUUUUUAACCUUUGAUGGUUAUCAUAUUUUCGUAUUCGUGAUUAACUUUAUCAAAUCUCUUUGCUCUUCUCCCAUUCUUUCUCUUUCUCGACCUUCUUUACUGAUACAUGUUGAGGGUACUUUUGCUGAAAAUUUCAAGUUUUCUAACUUCUCUCCUCCUCCUCUUCCUCUUUUCUCUCCUCUAAGAUUUAUUUUUUCAUCUCCUCUUUUGUUAAUCUUUUCUUAUUAGUUAUUUUAACAGGCAAUUUCCAAUGGAAGUCAAGACUGGGAAGAACAAAAUAUUUUGACGGUAUCUGUUUAUGCCUUAUUCUUCAUCACCAAGUUGUUUUGAAUUUUUAAUGCAACCUUAUUAACUAAUAUUGUAGGUUUUUUUUUUGCAAAUUUAUUAUUGAAAGUAGUUGCUACAAAUGUUUUAAUAGUUGGCAUUGAACCAAUAUUAAUAAAAGAAUCAAGAUACUAACCCUUAGAAUCAGUCAAGAAGCUUCUCAACGAGAACUAUACCUGCUUUGAGCUUAUCUUACUAGUAACUUUUUUAAACUCAAAUGUACGUGAGUACUCGUGCAUAACCAUCUUAACCAAGUCGAUCUUAUAUUCUUUUUGUAUUGUAUGUAUAAAUUUGAAGUUUUCAAUGUUACAAAACAGUAUUCUUCGCAAAUUCUAUACGCUAAAGAUGAUUGUGAAAUGGUAAAAUUAGUUUAUAGGUUAGUGGAUGAUGAAUUCUGUCAAACGGAUUGCUUGAAGGAGUCUCAUACUUUUCUCAUUUUAUUUGUGAUGUGUUAUUAUGUAAUUCUUUUAUUUUAGUUACAGAUAAAUAUUUUCUCAAGAGGUUUACCGUUUUAUGAUGUUGUUUUUGCAAGAGUUUUCUGCAAAAGUUCAAGAAGAAAUUAUGAUGAAAUGUAUUUUUUUUUAAUUGUUUUAGCUUAAAGUUGAUGUUUAAUAUCUACUUAAUACUGUUAAAAAAUUGUAUUUUUGCAUAUAUACUCUUUUCUUAAUAGACGUAGGUGAUGAAUUUGAUAUCUCAAUGGUGACAAAAACCAAGAUGAUCAAAGGGGUUUGAUUAAGAUCUAAUUGAAGGUAUGUGUGUCUUUUAUAUGAAAUUGUUUUUUUCUUUUCAUCUUUCUCUCAAGUUUUUUUCGGUCCUAAUAGGUGCUAUUAGGCUGUAAAUAAUCUCUAUAAAUGUGAAUAUUAUAAAUAGAUAAAUAAUAUUUUUUAAAAUAUUUUGAUAACAACUUUUGAUAUAAUUAGAUAAUAACUAUUUUUUCUCAAGUUAUGAUUAAAAAAUUUAUAUUAAUGUUAAGAUUUCUCAUACAUAAGUUUUUCUUAUAAAACUUUAAAUUCUCUAUGAAUUUUUACUUUAGUUUUGAUAAUAUUUAUUUUUGCACAACUCUAAAUAAAUUACAAGAAUAAAAAUUAUCAAGAAAGAAAAGUUUAUUAAUAAUAGCAAUAGAUAUAGGCGUUAGUAUAUUCAUGAAAAUAGUUUAUAUGUUUCUUGGAUCUAGUCUGAUUUGUUAAAAUUUUUCAUCCUCCUUAUAUAAUCUAUCAUGUCCGCAUUGGUAUAAAUUAUAUUACUCUACCCGAUUUUAGAUUUUUCAUUUGAUAAUUUUGUUCACAUGCGCUGAUGUUGGAAUCAGGUUUCAGGUGUUCUGCAUGCCAAGUCUGAUUUGUUAAUAUUUUCUAUCUCAUUAUUUAAUCAUCAUAUCCGCGUUGGUAGAAGUUAUGUUACUCUGCCCAAUUUUAGUUUGUAUCAUUUUGAUAAUUUUAACUCGGUUUGGCCCAGAUCAUUUUGGUUGUUCAUUCUUCGAUGUUGCUUUAGAUGUACAAACUCUAGUUUUCUGUUUAUUUUACAAGAAACUCAUGGAAAAACAAUUGCCCAUAUUGUGCUAUGUUAUAUUCUUCUCAUGAUGGUGGCAGCCUGCAGAUGUUCUGCAGUGGUCUUUCUGAAGAACAGGGCAUUUAAUUUAUUAAAGUAUCAUUAGUUAUGUCAUAAGGUAGAAAUUGUACUUCUCGCUUGUUUGAUCUGAAAAGGAUGUGAAUCAUACCAUUUUAUGUUUUAGGAAAUGUGCAGAAAUUGAAAAGUUGUAACUUGUGACCACUUGGUUUUCUACUUUGUUUCUCUGCUGUUAUAAAGUUGCAAAUGGUCUUGAAGCACACUUGAGAUACUCAUAGCUACAUCUUCUUAAAGCCCAUAUUUGGUUGUCUAGAUGUUUUUCCCCCAGGUAGUAUUGAAAAGAUGAUGGGCACAAUUCUCUAGCUCUGAUGCUAUUUAUUCAGUUUAGUAUGUGUAUUGUGUUGAUUUGGUUUGCCAAUUUUUUCUCUUUCCUGGACGGCACUGUCAUUAGGUAACUUAUUAUAUUUUUUCUUUGUUCCCUUGACCUUAAUCUACAUGCUUGAUUAAUGGCUGCACCAUUUUGUUCAAGUUAUUGUGAAAAAUAUUAAAAUUAUGCCUUGUUAAUUUAAUUGCAUGUUUCCCAGGAUAUUCCUUCCUUAGCUGCUGAUGCUGCAAAAAAGUAUCCCGGUGUAUCAUACAUCAUAACGGCUCCUCUUGGCUUGCACAAGCUCCUUGUGGUAUGAGAUUUUUCUUAUUUUUCUCUCAUGGUAUUUACAUUAAUCCUGCAAGACUUUUGGAGUCAUCACUGUACUUUCAACUUGUGCUUAGCUUUAUUUUUAGCUCUCCUUACCUGAUUGAUAUGUAGAUUAUUCACGAGUACAUGGGAUAUGACAAUACUAUUCAGUUAAUGCUAUUAAAUCAAAUUUUACCCCAUAUAUAUAUAUAUUAUAUAUAUAGGCACUAAAAUUCAUGCCCAGUUAACAGCAUUCUUAACAAAUGUACAAAAGUUUCCGAUUGACUGCAUUCUUAAUUUAAUUAAAACUAAAAUGAAAACUUUCAUCCUUAUUAUUAUUUAUUUUUACCAGCUUCCAAAAAUAUAUCACUCUUUUGCAGUGUUGUUCGCUGGUUUGAUCAAAUAGUUGUGAUCAAAAUUUUUAGUCUAGUUAUAACUACUUUUAAUUGAGAAUGCAAUCAGUUAGGAACUUAUAAACUUUCUUAUUAGGAGUGCAUAUUCCAAUUUCAAGAACACCAUCAAGUAGUAUUUCUAGGUAAUCAGACCUGUGAUUUUAUGAGAUAGACCUUGUCCUACUCGCACGUUGGACUAUGGCUUAUUUUAUCUUUUAAGAGCUCGAGAGAUCAGAAUGUGUCUGAUACCCAUAUGGCUCAUUAAGCAACAGAAGUUUCUGAUUCUCAAGGGAUAGAAUUUGUGAUGCCCUCUAUUUCCCAUUAGUAGUGUGCUAGGAUAGGCUAAAACGAGAUCAAGAAACAGAAGCAGCCAAUAUUUUUUGAGUAACACGGCAUUGAGCGACGCUACUCUGGCCAUGCUAAUUAGUUUUAUGUUUUGCAUUGAUCAUGUCCAUUUGUAAAUAAUUUCUCCAUUUUCUCACUCUCUACAGUUUUAGGUUGCAAGGUUAGUAAUGUGAUAAUUAGUUUCCUCAUUCUUUAUGGGUUUUGAACUGGUUUUUGAAAGUUUGCGUUUAACAGUUCUGUGUAAUUAGAGCAAUUAUUUGUUUUAAUUAUGUUUAAUGGGAUGAUCAAUAUUGUUGCAAGCAGAUCAGAUUCUCUUAUUGUAUUAUCGUUUCGAUAUUAGUUAAUUUGCUGAGUGACAUUCAUGGGACUUCUGUCGAUAAAACUUGAUCAUUUUUCUCAUCCUGGAAGUAUUAUAAUUUUCGUUCAAUUAGCAUAUAGUUUGCUUGCUGGAGAGGUAUGCAAUAUUUAUCUUUUGUGAGAAAGGUUGUCGUUCUUUAUUUUGAAGCCACAUCAGGAAAGUAGAUUUGAUUUUGUUCGUCGGUAAAAUUGCCUUAAUUUAUUUUCUUGCAAGUGAGAGGAAAUUGAUUUGAAAAAUGAUGCAGAGGAGGAGUUCGUGGUUUGUGGGAAGGCCUGUUGUUGGAGACUGGAACUGUCCUUUUUGCUGAGGUUCUUGGCAGAACCCUAACCGGUGAAACUGUACAGAUGCAUGGUGGAGCAGACAACUUGUCUGUGUGGAUUUGCCAGAGAAGGAAUAGAAAUUGAAAGGAAAUUUGGUGGUGCAAAAAAUCUGUAAGUAUUAUUUCUAAGGAUUAAGAGAAUAAAUAAUUUAAAAUUAGAUAACAGUUUAAAGAAUUUUAAUAGAAUAUAUUUGUACAUAUAAAUUUUUUUUAAUAAUACGCGUAUUAUUUAAUAAAUUUUUUAGAAAAAAGAAUUAUUAAAAAUUGUAUUGUAAUUAAGGGUGUUUGUUUUGUUGUGGUUUUUUAUUAUAAUAUUUGUAUUUAAAAAAAAUAUUUUUGUAGUUGGGUGAGUAAAAUAUAAAAUGUUUUUGAUAAUAGUUAAAUUGAAAAUUUAUUUUUUUAUAAAUUUAAAAUAAAAAAUUACAAAAGUUACAUGAAUUUUUAUUAAGAAUAAAUGUUAUUAUUAUUGUAUAAAUAAUAACAUAUUUUCACAAUUAUUUAUAAAAUUAUUUUUAAUGGAAAACUCAGUAAGGCAGUAAAAAAAAUAUUUAUCUUUUUAAUUUUCUCUCUCUGCCGCUCCUCAUCUUCGGUCUCUGGGUUUCCUUUUUUCUGCCCCUGAGGUUCCGCGUGUUUAUAAAGCACAGAGGUUGCGUCACGGAGACGCACCUCAGCUCCUCUAUAAAAGGGCUGAGACUCUCUUUCCUCCUUACGCAUCUGCUGUCUCCUGAUCCGGUAAGGUUUUCUUCUGAUUGCCCAUUAGAUCUGGUCCCGCUCCGAUCUUCUAGAGAUUGGAGGCGGUCUUCAUUCUCUCUGAACGGAAGAGUGCAUAAAAUAGGGCUCUUCUGCUUCCGAGUCUUCUCUCUUGUGGCGAUUUAGAGGUUGCGUCACGGAGACGCAGCUCAGCUCCUCUAUAAAAGCGCUGAGACUCUCUUCCCUCCUUCCGCCUCUGCCGUCUCCUGAUCCGGUAAGGUUUUGUUUUCGAUUGCCCAUUAGAUCUGGUCCCGCUCCGAUCUUCUAGAGAUUGGAGGCGGUCUUCAUUCUCUCUGAACAGAAGAGUGCAGAAAAUAGGGCUCUUCUACUUCUGAGUCUUCUCUUUCGCGGCGAUUUAGAGGUUGCGUCGCGGAGAGGCAGCUCAGCUCCUCUAUAAAAGCGCUGAGACUCUCUUUCCUCCUUCCGCCUCUUCUGUCUCCUGAUCCGGUAAGGUUUUCUUUCGAUUGCCCAUUAGAUCUGGUCCCGCUCCGAUCUUCUAGAGAUUGGAGGCGGUCUUCGUUCUCUCUGAAGGGAAGAGUGCAGAAAAUGGGGCUCUUCUACUUCCGAGUCUUCUCUCUUGCGGCGAUUUAGAGGUUGCGUCACGGAGACGCAGCUCAGCUCCUCUAUAAAAGCGCUGAGACUCUCUUUCCUCCUUCCGCCUCUGCCGUAUCCUGAUCCGGUAAGGUUUUCUUUUUGAUUGCCCAUCGGAUCUGGUCCCGCUCCGAUCUUCUAGAGAUUGAGGCGGUCUUCAUUCUCUCUGAACGGAAGAGUGCAGAAAAAGGGGCUCUUCUACUUCUGAGUCUUCUCUCUUGUGGCGAUUUAAAGGUUGCGUCACGGAGACGCACCUCAGCUCCUCUAUAAAAGCGCUGAGACUCUCUUUCCUCCUUCCGCCUCUGCCGUCUCCUGAUCCGGCCGAAAAUGCUAAAUUACCCUCAUCCUGCUGUAUAAUUGUCUCAGGAUUGCUCUGUUGGGCUCUUAUAAAGCAAUGGAUCCAAAUGUUGCACGAGCUGUUGAGUAAUUUCCAACUGGUUUUGGUGAUUUGCUUUUAUUAGUUGAGAUAAAAAAAUAAAACGAAUUAUUAAUUAUUAAUUUGGUUUCGGCAUUUAUAAAAAAAAAAAGUUUGUAUUUGAAAAAUAUUUUUGUAGUUAGACGAGCAAAGAAGAAAAAUGUUUUUGAUAAUAGUUAAAUUCAAAAUUUAAAAUAAAAAAUCACACUCAAUACAUCUUGGUGCUGGAUUCAAAUAUUUUCUUUCGAAAAAAGAAACUUACGUACGUGUAUUAAUAUCGGUGCCUGUGCGCAUUUACAAAAUUUUUACGAGUCUGCUAGAUUCAAAUAAUGUAUCGUUCUUGUUUCUCUCACGCUUUUUGGUUGUAUUUGAGCAAUAAUUUGUCAGAGGCAGCAAGCCAGAUCUGGAAAUAUGGCAAGUUUUUAGAAAUUGGUGCUGCGCGUUUAAUCAUCUUUAACCAACAAGAUCUUAUGCUGGUUUUCAGGUAAUUCUCUUUUGUUUCGCUCCCUUUCAAUCUUCUUUAAGAUCUCAGAAUGGAAGUCCCCAGCUUCCUAUCUCUUAGUCUCCUCUUAAACCUGAAGGUCAUUAUUUUUGGCCCGUCCAACAGUUAUGUUGCAGUCAAGAGAAAGGUUUCCAGGAUAUGCUUGAGAUGCUUGCCUCGUACAAGGAGGGGGUGUGUACCAUGUGGGAACCGUGUUCCCAUAAUCUUGAUUCUGUCCGGUUCCAUCCAAAGUGCAUAAAGAAACCUAGUUCCCACGCUGGAAACUGAUAACAGUGCUCGGUAUUUUAUGUUUAUUACCAGUUAUUGUUAAUUUAUUGCGCGACUUUCAUGGGAGUUGUAUCAAUAUGUCUUGAUCCCUUUUCUUGUUCUUUGAUUUACCGGGACCAUAUUCUGAAAAUAUUGUAAUCGUCGCUCGGUAAGGGUAUGGAUUGCUGGUUCAAGAGGUUUGCAAUAUCUAUUUACACUCGUAUCACUUGGUGCUGGAUUCAUAUGUUUUUCUUCUGUAUUAAAAAGUUACGUAUGUGUAUUAAUAUUGGUACCGAGGGGGCACUGCGCACUUACAAAAUUUUUACAAGUCCGCUGGAUUAAAAUAAUGUGACGUGCUUUGUUCCUCUCGGCGCUUUUUGCUUGUAUUUGAGCAAUCAUUUGUUAGAGGCAGCCAGGCCAGAUCUGAAAAUAUGGCAAGUUUUUAGAAAUUGAUGCUGCGCCUUUUAGUUGCCAACACGUUCUUAUGUUGGUUUUCAGGUAAUUCUCUUUUGUUUCACUCCCUUUUAUUCGUCUUUAAGAUCUCGGAAUGGAAGUCCUCAGCUUCCUUGUCCCCCGCAUCUUUGAGUCUCAUCUUAAAGCUGAAGGUCAUUAUUUUUGGCCUGUCCAGCAGUUUUGUUGUGGUUGAGAGAAAGGUUUAAAGGAUGCAUGAGAUGCUUGCCUCGUACAAGGGUGUCUAUUAUGUGGGAACCGUGUUCCCAAAAUCUUGAUUCCGUCUGGUCCAUAGUCCCUGCAAAGUCAUUCCAUCCAAAGUGCAUAAAGAAACAUAGUUCCCACGUUGGAAACUAAUAGUGUUGUUCCUUUCGACUUUUGUUACCAGUUUAUUUUUUGUUUGAUGUUCGCGGGAGUUGUAUCAGUAUGUCUUGAUCCCUUUUCUUGUUUUUUGAUUUACAGGGACCAUAUUCUGACAAUAUUAUAACGCUCGCUCGGUAAGGGUGUGGAUUGCUGGUUCGAGAGGUACGCGACAUCUCUAUUUACACUCGUAUCACUUGGUGCUGGAUUCAAAUAUUUCUCUUUGGAAGUAAAAGUUACGUAUUUUUUUAAUGUUGGUACCAAAGGGGUACUGCUGCGCAUUACAAAAAUUUCUACAAGUCUGCUAGAUUCAAAUAAUAUUUCUCUCACGCUUUUUGGUUGUAUUUGAGCAAUAAUUUGUCAGAGGCGGCAGGCCAGAUCGGGAAAUAUGGCAACUUUUUAGAAAUUGAUGCUGCGCGUUUACUUUACCAACAAGUUCUUAUGUUGGUUUUCAGGUAAUUCUCUUCCGCCCCGCUCCCUUUUAAUCAUCUUUAAUAUCUCAGCAUGGAAGUCCUCAGCUUCCUUGCCCCCCGGGCCCCACUUCUUUUAGUCUGCUCUUAAAGCUGGAGGUCAUUUUUUUUUGACGUUUGUUGUAGUCAAGAGAAAGGUUUCUAGGAUGCAUGAGAUGCUUGCCUCGUACUAGGGUGUCUUUUAUGUGGGAACCAUGUUCCCGUAAUCUUGGUUCUGUCUAUGGUUCGUAGUCCCAUAUGAACGAGGAUGCUGUGUUCUCGGGAUUUUUAUCUGAUGCGAGAAAGGUCGUCAUUCUUUAUUUCGAAGCCACAUUAGAUUGAUUUUGUGUCCCGGUAAAAGUGCCCUACUUUAUUUUAUUGAAAGUGAGAGUAAAUUGAUUUAUUGUUUCAAAAUAAAUUUGCGUCCGUGUUUAAUGGAAAAUUUUACGAUUUCUUCGGAGAAAGUAGAAUUCCCCAUGUCCUUCGGGUAGUUGGAACUUAAAAAGAAUGUGCUUGGAUCUUCUAACAGCAAGUAAAUAUUUUUGGGCAUUGUUUUAAGGUUCUUGCUUCCUUUGGUAGAAAAUAAUUUUUUAUGGUGUUCCGGUCCUGAAUUAUUGCUCAGAAACUGAAAGCAUGUUUUGUAAAUCUUUUAAAAAAUAAAUGAGCUUGAUGAACAAGAAAAUUUCCCAUUCUUGAGAAAACAAAAAAUGUUCCCUGGUCCCCCGGGUAGCACCAACUGUGAGAAAAUGUGUCUUGAGCAUUUUGAUUCCUAGUAAAUAUGUUUAUGUGUGUCGCUUCGGCAGUGAAAGCUAUCGUGAUGGGCACCCUUUCUCUCUUAGACGUUGCAAUUGGAUUUUCUAGUAUUUGAUAACCAUUUACAAAAGAUAUGUAUGCUCGGUUUUUGGAACUUUCAGAUGUAGUUUAUUGGAGAAAUGUUGUUGGUAUGUGUUUUGAAGCUUCAUUCAUGAAAUAUAGUUGGUGAAGGAUCAUUGUGGGCCGGGUCUCUUGAGUAGAAAACAUUAUUUCUGCAGCCCUUGCAUGCACGAUGAAUGUUUUAUCUGAGAUUCUCGGUCCAAAAUGUAAGAGCUUCAAUUCCAUAUUAACUACAUUUCAGUCCCAAAAUACUAGGGAAGCCAAUAUUUCAUUUUGAAAGUUAAAGGGUGUUGAUGUGUGUUUUGAAGCUUCAUACAUGAAAUAUAGCCGGUGAAGGAUCACUGUUGGCCGGGUCUCUUGAGUAGAAAACAGUAUUUGUGCAGCCCCUGCAUUCACAAUGAAUGUUUUAUUUGAGAUUCUCGGUCCAAAAUGUAAGAGCUUCAAUUCCAUAGUAACUACCUUUUCAGUCCCAAAAUACCAGGAAAGCCAAUAUUUCAUUUUGAAAGUUAAAGGUUGCUGAUGUGUGUUUUGAAGCUUCAUUUAUGAAAUAUAGUUGGUGAAGGAUCAUUAUUGGCCGGGUCUCUUGAGUAGAAAACAUUAUUUCUGCAGCCCGUGCAUUCGAAAUGAAUGCUCUAUUUGAGAUUCUCGGUCCAAAAUGUAAGAGCUUCAAUUCCAUAUUAACUUACUUUCAGGCCACAAAAAUCUAGGACAGGCAAUAUUUCAUUUUGAACGUUAAAGGUUGUUGCUGUGUGUUUUGAAGCUUCAUUUAUGAAAUAUAGUUGGUGAAGGAUCAAAAUUGGCCGGGUCUCUUUGAGUAGAAAACAUUAUUUGUGCAGCCCUUGCAUUCACAAUGAAUGUUUUAUUUGAGAUUCUGGGUCCAAAAUGUAAGAGGUUCAAUUCCAUAUUAACUACCCUUUAGUCCUAGGAAAGGCAAUAUUUCAUUUUGAAAGUGGAAGUUUUUGUCGAUAUUUCAAAACAAACUUAUGUGCCUCGGUGCAUGAGAACGUGAAUCUUGAUUUUUUGUGGCAAAAUGAAACUGCUUGCAACCCUCAAGAUGUACAGCCUCAAAAAGAUGUGGCUUAAAAUCUCAAGCCAAAGUUUGGGUGCGUCGGUUUGAAAGUGAGAGUUUCUUUGAUCACGCACUUUCUUUUGGAGAGUUAGGCGACGUUUCACUUAGUGGUGGCAAUAUGCUCUCCCAAUCUAUUUUUAGCGCGGACAGAAAAAGUUUCGUGCUAGGUUAUGGGAAUCGUCAUUAUACGUGGAAGAGGUUGCCGUUCUUUAUUUUGAAGCCACAUCGAUAAUCUAGUUGCAGCGUUUUUCCUCUGUAGAGGUGCCCCGAUUCGAUAUUUUGAAACCGACACUGUAUUUACUGAUUCUUUUAAAAUAAGUGUGCCCCUCGGUAUUCAAGCAGAAGUUUCUCUGUUUUUUGGGGAAGAGUAAAAUUGCUCUGUUCUCUUGGUUGGUUGGAACAUAGAAAGCAAUAUGUUUGGAUCUUUUGAUUGCAAGUAAAUAUUUUUUCGGCACGUGGUUUUAAAGCUUUUUGGCUUUUGUUAAAGAAUAGUUUUUUUAAAAAAAUAUAUAUACAAAAGAAUAGUUUCCUGUUUUGGAAGUUUCCUGGUUUGGGAAGUAAAUGAGACUCAAUUUAUACUUUAAAACCUAAAAGCUGUUUUUAUGCAUUAUUUAUGGAUAAAUGUGUGACUUGAUGCACAAGAAAAUGAAUUUUGAUUUCUUGGGGCAAUGUAAAUCUGCUUGGGUCUCUCUCGCAGUUCCAAGUUUUAGAAAAACUUGCAUUGACAAAGAUUUGAGGAUAUUGUGACAGCACCACUUCUG
RNAcentral lists this long non-coding RNA (21538 nucleotides) under Carica papaya (papaya). RNAcentral's name for it is "long non-coding RNA (CPAP_LNC010554)". The stretch from base 9143 to 9265 matches the Rfam family "Small nucleolar RNA snoR77". Lineage: Eukaryota; Viridiplantae; Streptophyta; Magnoliopsida; Brassicales; Caricaceae. The record is from RNAcentral.